GUCAAAUAGAGGACAGUGGUUUACGUCAGCAGAACCCCGUGGGCCUAUACACUGUUUUCCUCGCCCACAAGGAUGAAAGAGAGAUGAAUAUUCAUAAGUCAUUCUCAAAUACAUGCUGGUAAAAUUUUUCACUGUCGGUAAAGAGGCGAAGCUUUCAAGACGUUACUACUAAGAGCGCAAAGCCACACGUGACAAAUCAUGGCCCUACUUCGUGUUGUUCUGGCUGUGCUCGUACUCGGAGGUGUUUGCUCGUGGUCUUUUGCUACAAAGCCAGAUUGUCCACCUGACCAGCCUCCCGCCAACUGCCCUAUUAACCCGUGUUUCCUUGCAUAUUGCCCAGCGGGGACGACCUGUGUACCUCGUUUUUGCGGGGGAUGUCGGCAUGAGUGUAGAAAAAGGUGGCCAUAACCGACAGAAGUACAAGCCUGGAGAUAGUUUUCAAUCCACUGACCGAUGCAACAGGUGCUGACGCACCUCAAAUGGAGGUGUGGUGUGCUCGGAAAAAGCAUGCAUAAAGCUACUAAUAUCUUAAAAGGAGCCAAUAUGUGGAAUGUGCAAGAUGUCUGAACCACAUUAUCCUAGAAUAACAGGUAGAAAGAAGAGGAAUGAACAUUCAUAGGGAACCUCGGGGCCACUUUCACAAAGAUGUCUUACUCGUACGAUAUCGCACGGAUAGGACAAUGGUACGUUAAUAAUGACGUACAAAAUAUCGUAUGACAAUGUAAGAAAAAUAAAUGUCGUACGCCGCUUUGUGAAAAUGGCCCCAGUUCUACAUUAACGGGUGUAAGAUAAGCCUUAUCACGGACAUGGGUACAAGUACAGCUAAGUGUAGACAGAAAAAUAAGUAAAAAAAGUAAUUAGCUUUGGUUUGUGACCAUAUCUUGGUCUCUACAUAUUAUGCAUCCCUGAGUCUAUGAAUAAACUGUUCUCAGUCAGUGUUAUUGUAUGUACGUUUAAAUUAAAGCGGCAAUCAUCUCUGCA
This is a long non-coding RNA of Liolophura sinensis, 981 nucleotides long. RefSeq lists it as uncharacterized. The record is from RefSeq and is a predicted model, not a curated record. NCBI's taxonomy places the organism in Eukaryota, Metazoa, Mollusca, Polyplacophora, Chitonida, Chitonidae. The transcript is spliced from 6 exons.